ACGGGUGAGUAAUGUAUCGGAACGUGCCCAGUAGCGGGGGAUAACUACGCGAAAGCGUGGCUAAUACCGCAUACGCCCUACGGGGGAAAGGGGGGGAUCGCAAGACCUCCCACUAUUGGAGCGGCCGAUAUCGGAUUAGCUAGUUGGUGGGGUAAAGGCCUACCAAGGCGACGAUCCGUAGCUGGUUUGAGAGGACGACCAGCCACACUGGGACUGAGACACGGCCCAGACUCCUACGGGGGGCAGCAGUGGGGAAUUUUGGACAAUGGGGGCAACCCCGAUCCAGCCAUCCCGCGUGUGCGAUGAAGGCCUUCGGGUUGUAAAGCACUUUUGGCAGGGAAGAAACGGCACCUUUUAAUACAGGGUGUCACUGACGGUACCUGCAGAAUAAGCACCGGCUAACUACGUGCCAGCAGCCGCGGUAAUACGUAGGGUGCAAGCGUUAAUCGGAAUUACUGGGCGUAAAGCGUGCGCAGGCGGUUCGGAAAGAAAGAUGUGAAAUCCCAGGGCUCAACCUUGGAACGGCAUUUUUAACUCCCGAGCUAGAGUAUGUCAGAGGGGGGUAGAAUUCCA
RNAcentral lists this ribosomal RNA (573 nucleotides) under uncultured bacterium. RNAcentral describes it as "bacterial SSU rRNA". It matches the Rfam family "Bacterial small subunit ribosomal RNA", at positions 102 to 671 of the family's 1533-position model. The record is from RNAcentral.